ACACAGAGGAAUUAGUGAGAAACGUGAGAAGUGGUAGAGACGAAGACCCGAUGAUCGGUUUCUUCGAGAUUGGAAAGGGAGAGAGACAUUCAAGCGGAAUGGAGGUCCUCCAGUGGUGUUAGAUCCAAAUUUGCAUCAUGGCCGAUGACAGGGUGGGAUUAGUUUCCCUGAAGCUUUGAAUCCUGUUCUUAAUUUGUCUAGAGAGAGUGGUGAAAAGCGAAUCCACCGACCGAAAAGAGUUGGAGUGCAAGCGAGAGUUCCUUUCAUUCCAUGUCCAGUAGAUUGUUCAUUUCCAAGCUAAGAGGGGUUGAAUUCCACACUUUCUAGCGCUGAGGGACCAUAAAUCAAAGCUGAAAGGGCAGUCGUGGAAGAGAUGAUCGCGAGAUUCAGAGUGGGAAUUACAUAAGAGACAGAGCGGUGAAACCUGCAAUCCCCAACUGAUGAGCCUAUCUCUAGUGGGGCACCUGUUCUUGACAACCAACCAAGCUAAAAAACAGUGUCUAGGGAUCCCAUAUGAAGACCAUAUCGCAUUUGCCCAGUUUACUUCAUCAAUGUCUCCACAGAGGAGGAAGGCGCCAAUUUCCAUUGCUGCAGAUAGAAGCAACCGUAGCUUUAAGAGGGAUUCCCAGUCUUGACGAUGAGUGUUGGAGGAAAGUUGAUAAACUGCCAAAAGGAGUCCAAUUGUCAAACCAGAACCUGGCCGAUAGUCCAUCCUGCAGCUUUAGUUUGAUGAGUGGGAACACCACCUCCUUAAGCUUUAGAAGCUUGUUUGCUAGCCAAGAGUAGGAGCUGUUAGGUUGCAACCCAAAUAGAUCCUGCUCUAAAGAACAGCCUCCAAAUCAGCUUCAGACAACAAGCUUUGUUCCAAGUGUGCAGAUCCCUUAUCCCCAAUCCACCCUGAUUCUUUGUAAGAACAACUGUAUCCCAUGCAACUCUAGCUGUGUUAUGACUUUCAAUAUCUCCUUUCCAUAGAAAGACACUACACAUAGAGUUGAUUCUGUUGAUACAUGCUUUUGGCAAGAUAAACGCAGAGCACCAGAAAGUAGUGAUACCCGAGAUCACUGUUUUUAUUAGGAGGAGUCUACCCGAGAAAGAUAGUGACUUCACAGACCAAGAAGAGAGCCUUGUCUUAAUUUGAUGAAUGAGAGGUUCACAGCUGGUGAGAUUUAACUUUCUGGAGCUUAAAGGCAUUCCUAAGUGAAAUGGACUUUUCAAAGGUCCAAUAAUAAAAUCAUUAUAGUAAUUAAGAUGUCAAUCUAUUUCUAAGAAUUUUGAAUCAAAGAGAAUUCAGGUUUUUAAUUAA
Brassica napus (rape) is the source of this 1303-nucleotide long non-coding RNA. RefSeq lists it as uncharacterized. The record is from RefSeq and is a predicted model, not a curated record. Lineage: Eukaryota; Viridiplantae; Streptophyta; Magnoliopsida; Brassicales; Brassicaceae. The transcript is spliced from 3 exons.